CAGUCGCCACGGUAAAACGGAGGAUCCAAGCGUUAUCCGGAAUCAUUGGGUUUAAAGGGUCCGUAGGCGGUCUUGUAAGUCAGUGGUGAAAGCCCAUCGCUCAACGGUGGAACGGCCAUUGAUACUGCAGGACUUGAAUUAUUGGGAAGUAACUAGAAUAUGUAGUGUAGCGGUGAAAUGCUUAGAGAUUACAUGGAAUACCAAUUGCGAAGGCAGGUUACUACCAAUUGAUUGACGCUGAUGGACGAAAGCGUGGGUAGCGAACAGGAUUAGAUACCCGCGUAGUCCCUGUCUCUUAUAC
RNAcentral lists this ribosomal RNA (301 nucleotides) under uncultured bacterium. RNAcentral's name for it is "partial 16S ribosomal RNA". It matches the Rfam family "Bacterial small subunit ribosomal RNA", at positions 509 to 807 of the family's 1533-position model. The record is from RNAcentral.